GGCCCCCUGUGAGUGAAAGAUGGGGGGUCUGACCUGCCCGGUGACAUGUGUUAAACGGCUGCGGUAUCCUAGACCGUGCGAAGGUAGCGUAAUUAUUUGCCCAUUAAUUGUGGGCUGGUAUGAAUGGUUUGACGAGGGUAUAACUGUCUCUUUGUAAUUAUGUGGAAAUUAUUUUUUGAGUGAAGAAACUCGGAUGUGGCUGAGGGACGAUAAGACCCCGUCGAGUUUAAGUGGGAUUUUGGCGAUUGUAAGCAUAUGUGGAAGUUACAAUAUCUAGGUGAAUCUUUGGUUGGGGUGACCGAGAAGUAAAAGAAACCUUUUGUUGGGGCUUGUGGCUUUUUGGUAAAGAUCUGACUUAUUAUGUAGAUAGGAAGAAUAAGUUACCGCGGGGAUAACAGCGUGAUCUUCUUGGAGAGCUCAUAUCGAGAAGAGGGUUUGCGACCUCGAUGUUGGAUUAAGAUUUCCUGGAGGUGUAGGGGUUUCCAAGGGUUAGUCUGUUCGACUAUUAAAAUCUU
This 515-nucleotide ribosomal RNA is filed under the name Diodora quadriradiata. Its description in RNAcentral is "partial large subunit ribosomal RNA". It matches the Rfam family "Bacterial large subunit ribosomal RNA", at positions 1817 to 2597 of the family's 2925-position model. The record is from RNAcentral. Lineage: Eukaryota; Metazoa; Mollusca; Gastropoda; Lepetellida; Fissurellidae.